AUUGAACGCUGGCGGCAGGCCUAACACAUGCAAGUCGAGCGGUAGAGAGGUGCUUGCAUCUCUUGAGAGCGGCGGACGGGUGAGUAAUGCCUAGGAAUCUGCCUAGUGGUGGGGGAUAACGUUCGGAAACGGACGCUAAUACCGCAUACGUCCUACGGGAGAAAGCGGGGGAUCUUCGGACCUCGCGCCAUUAGAUGAGCCUAGGUCGGAUUAGCUAGUUGGUGAGGUAAUGGCUCACCAAGGCGACGAUCCGUAACUGGUCUGAGAGGAUGAUCAGUCACACUGGAACUGAGACACGGUCCAGACUCCUACGGGAGGCAGCAGUGGGGAAUAUUGGACAAUGGGCGAAAGUCUGAUCCAGCCAUGCCGCGUGUGUGAAGAAGGUCUUCGGAUUGUAAAGCACUUUAAGUUGGGAGGAAGGGUAGUAACCUAAUACGUUG
RNAcentral lists this ribosomal RNA (440 nucleotides) under uncultured bacterium. RNAcentral describes it as "bacterial SSU rRNA". It matches the Rfam family "Bacterial small subunit ribosomal RNA", at positions 30 to 471 of the family's 1533-position model. The record is from RNAcentral.